UACCUCCCAGGAUGGCAUCUGUAGAGUGGAUAGUAUUCUGCCAGCUUUGGAAACUGGAUGAAAAGCAAAUCUGGCAGAGGUACCCAUUCCAUUCCCAGCUUGCUCAAUAGCUGGUGAUUGGAAGAAACUCUGCAACAAUG
Cercocebus atys (sooty mangabey) is the source of this 140-nucleotide small nucleolar RNA. The record is from Ensembl. NCBI's taxonomy places the organism in Eukaryota, Metazoa, Chordata, Mammalia, Primates, Cercopithecidae.